This 500-nucleotide ribosomal RNA is filed under the name uncultured bacterium. RNAcentral's name for it is "partial 16S ribosomal RNA". It matches the Rfam family "Bacterial small subunit ribosomal RNA", at positions 30 to 523 of the family's 1533-position model. The record is from RNAcentral.
AUUGAACGCUGGCGGCAUGCCUUACACAUGCAAGUCGAACGGUAACGGGUCCUUCGGGAUGCCGACGAGUGGCGAACGGGUGAGUAAUAUAUCGGAACGUGCCCAGUAGUGGGGGAUAACUGCUCGAAAGAGCAGCUAAUACCGCAUACGAUCUGAGGGUGAAAGGGGGGGCUCGCAAGACCUCUCGCUAUUGGAGCGGCCGAUAUCAGAUUAGCUAAUUGGUGGGGUAAAGGCCUACCAAGGCAACGAUCUGUAGUUGGUCUGAGAGGACGACCAGCCACACUGGGACUGAGACACGGCCCAGACUCCUACGGGAGGCAGCAGUGGGGAAUUUUGGACAAUGGGCGCAAGCCUGAUCCAGCAAUGCCGCGUGCAGGAAGAAGGCCUUCGGGUUGUAAACUGCUUUUGUCAGGGAAGAAAUCUUCUGGGCUAAUACCCCGGGAGGAUGACGGUACCUGAAGAAUAAGCACCGGCUAAAGACGAGCCAGCCGCCGCCGUAA